CUCCCAGGAAAGCUCCCGGGGUCGGGUGGGUGCCGCUGUUCCCACUGAAGAUGCGGCCCCCAGUUCACUGCCCACUCGGUGGGGGGGCUUUGAGGGUCAUUGGUUCUGAGGGUCCUCUGCCUGCUCUUUUGCUUCUAAAUCCAGCAUCUUCUGUACGACCUUUGUCCCUCUUCUGCCACCCCGUGAAGACAGACUUGAGGGUCGGGGGAACCACGGUGCUAACCGCCACUCUGGGCAGGCACAGGCGAGGGCUGUGGAGCACCCAGGCACGUGGGGGUCUUUGGAGGGGCUGCUCCCCACACCACUUCCCCUGCCCCCGCAGAGCCCUGCUGUGGGGUGGGGGAUGCAGAGAAAACAGCUGCCCUGUGUGAGAGCCAGGAAGGACACCGGGCAGGCGGAUACCACCCCAGGUGUGGAGACCCCUGCUACUGAGUGACCGGGAGGAGCCCACAGGCUCCCCACAUGCAGCUGAGCCCAGGGUCGUGGUCAUGGGUCGUGGGUCAAGGACGGUGGCUGGUGUGGUUGAGGGAGAGUCUCAAGGCCUGCCUGCUGACCUUGUCACCCAUGUAGGGGUGAGGGGAGCCCACCAGAGGCUAGAGCCCCCACUGCCCCUUCCCACCCUCCAGCCAGGCUCCAGGCCUCCUAGGGCCAGAGUAUCUGAGCUUUCUCUCGCUUGCGGGGCCUGUGGUUUGGGGGUUUGUGUGAAGCCUGGUCCAGGAGCCCUCCUUCCUGAUCUGCACUGGCUGGCCCUCCUGACAACCCCAGGCCCCCGUGCCCUCUGCCAGGAGGCGCCUUGCCACUCGGCAUGGCCCCAGUCACGGGUGGCAUGUGUGGGGUGAAUGCAUGUCAGUGGAGGCAGAAUCAUUCUGUCUGAAUGAAUGGAGUUUCCAGGCCCCCGCUGGCCCUCUGUGUGAGGGUCUGCAGGGUUUGGCAGGACAGGCCUUUCCCUCCAGCGAGAGCACCGACCCUGACUGGCUGCUGGACGAGGGCACCAAAACUGACUAGGGAGGGCUCUGUCCUUAGGGAGGAGCUGCAGAAUCCCUGCAGCUGUGCCCCCAGGCCCUGCCUUGCACAGUUCCUGUAGCCAGAGCGCCCCUGGGGAGGUCAGGGCAGGCCGGGGAGGCUGAGGCCCACCUGCCAUAGUGGGCAGGUACGGGAGCCAGGGGCGGCAGUGGCCUCGGGGCUGGGUGGGGUGCCUGGCCUCUGGUCUCUGGAGCAGUCAGGGGCUCUGCGGACGCUGAGAGGCCUGCUCACAGUGUACUGGGAGAUGCUGGAGCAGCCUCAGAGCCACGGCCGGCCCACAGCGGGAGAUGGCCCUGCUGCUGCCCCUCCACCCGUGCGUGUGGGCCUGUGUGCACCUGCGUGUGCUGGGGCAGGCCGGGCUGUGUUGGGACCAGGUCCCAUAACAGCUUGCCUGCUUACCGUCUGCUCCCAUCUCCGGGGAAAGCAAGGGAGCUCGGGGUCCUAGGACCUGACCUUAGCGCUCACCCCCACCAGCACCGCAGUCACCAGGACUCUGUGACUCAGUUUACCCCACAUGAGAGCCCCUGGGAUUCCCAGGGCAUCAGAAGGCCCAUCAGCCUCCCGUGAACUGCUGGGGUGGGCCUGGCCUUGGGACGCGGGUGCAGGAGCUUCUCCUCACUGCCCCCAUGGCACCCACAGCCAGUGCCCGAGCCUGCUGCAGCCCCAACCCAGCAGAGCAAGUGGCUCUGCUACCUCAGCCACGUAGCUGAUGGCAUCCUUCAGGUUCAGCUCGUGGAAGACAUUCAGGAUCCGGUCUCGAGACUUCUGGGCCGACCGUCUCAUGAGGACCCUGCUGAGGAACUUCCUGUCGAAGUGGGACCACCUGUAGGGACAGAUCUCGGGUGUGAGCCUCAGGUGACAGGUGCCCUAGAGCCCACCGGACAUGUGGCCCGGCCCCUUCUCUCCUGAAUUUCAUUUGCUAUAGCGACUCUGCAGGCAUGUUUAAAAUGAGGGAAGCAGCCCCUGCCGCACGCCCAGGCCGUCCGCCGUUUUCACGCCUGUCCUGUUGGAUGGAGGCUGUUAGAUGCAUUUGAAACUGCAUGCCGCCUCCUCCAGAGGGUGGCUCAGGACAGGGUGGGCAUCAGGCCUGGUCGGGCAAGGGGGCUCCGGCCACGUGGGGGCACUUCCAGCUGCACAGGAGGAAAGGCAGGGGCAGACAGAUGCCCUGAGCCCUUAGACUUGAGGGAGCCAAGCUGACCAGAGUGAGGUUUUUUUAGCCUAACAGAAUUAGAGUAUUCGCUGGUUAUCCGGAUCAGAAGGGACGGUGGCCCGGACGAACUUAGCAGAAACUCUGGGGCACAAGGAGGUGAUGCCUCUCACUCUUGGACAUGGGUGCAGCCGCCAGAGCCGCCCCCCGGGGCAGAGGGUGGGCCCGGGUGAGCUUGUGUACUCAUACCUGGGCAGGCCCCGCGGCAGCAAUGGCAGCUCUCCUGUACAGGCUGAGUUUCAGCCACACCAAGAAGUCAAAGCUAACUGAGGCCGUGCCUUCGGAGACCCCCGGGAUGGCCCCUGGGAGGCCAAGGAGUCGGGGACUGGGUACCUGGAGCAGAGUCGCUGCGGCCACGGAGAACCACAGCUGAGCUUUACGAAGCCACGUAGCCACACCUCCCGGUGCCUCCACCCCAACCAAACACAGAUCGCUCAGAAAAUGGGAACCCAGGGCAAAUUGUAUGUGCUGCUUACUGGGUUUAUUUUAAGUGUCACAUGUUUUUUAUAAUAAAACAUAGGUGAUUUCACCUUAA
Molecule: small RNA, 2765 nt
Filed under: Pongo abelii (Sumatran orangutan)
Lineage: Eukaryota; Metazoa; Chordata; Mammalia; Primates; Hominidae
Description: retained intron
Source: RNAcentral